AUUGAACGCUGGCGGCAGGCCUAACACAUGCAAGUCGAGCGGAUGAAGGGAUCUUGCUCCUGGAUUCAGCGGCGGACGGGUGAGUAAUGCCUAGGAAUCUGCCUGGUAGUGGGGGAUAACGUCCGGAAACGGGCGCUAAUACCGCAUACGUCCUGAGGGAGAAAGUGGGGGAUCUUCGGACCCCACGCUAUCAGAUGAGCCUAGGUCGGAUUAGCUAGUUGGUGGGGUAAAGGCCUACCAAGGCGACGAUCCGUAACUGGUCUGAGAGGAUGAUCAGUCACACUGGAACUGAGACACGGUCCAGACUCCUACGGGAGGCAGCAGUGGGGAAUAUUGGACAAUGGGCGAAAGCCUGAUCCAGCCAUGCCGCGUGUGUGAAGAAGGUCUUCGGAUUGUAAAGCACUUUAAGUUGGGAGGAAGGGCAGUAAGUUAAUACCUUGCUGUUUUGACGUUACCAACAGAAUAAGCACCGGCUAACUUCGUG
RNAcentral lists this ribosomal RNA (484 nucleotides) under uncultured bacterium. Its description in RNAcentral is "partial 16S ribosomal RNA". It matches the Rfam family "Bacterial small subunit ribosomal RNA", at positions 30 to 507 of the family's 1533-position model. The record is from RNAcentral.